CAGCCGCCGCGGUAAUACGAGGGGGGCAAGCGUUGUUCGGAAUUAUUGGGCGUAAAGGGUGCGUAGGCGGCUUGACAAGUCUCGUGUGAAAUCUAUGGGCUCAACCCAUAGUCUGCACGGGAAACUGUCGGGCUUGAGAAUGGGAGAGGUGAGUGGAAUUUCCGGUGUAGCGGUGAAAUGCGUAGGUAUCGGAAGGAACACCUGUGGCGAAAGCGGCUCACUGGACCAUUUCUGACGCUGAUGCACGAAAGCUAGGGGAGCAAACAGGAUUAGAUACCCCUGUAGUCCCUGUCUCUUAUAA
This 301-nucleotide ribosomal RNA is filed under the name uncultured bacterium. RNAcentral's name for it is "partial 16S ribosomal RNA". It matches the Rfam family "Bacterial small subunit ribosomal RNA", at positions 509 to 809 of the family's 1533-position model. The record is from RNAcentral.